UACGGCCAUAUGAUGUUGAAACACCGGUUCUAGUACGAUCACUCAAGUUAAACAACGAUGAUUCUGGUCAGUACCUAGGUGGGUGACCGCCUGGGAAUACUAGGUAUUGU
Non-coding RNA from Acanthosepion pharaonis, 110 nucleotides. Lineage: Eukaryota; Metazoa; Mollusca; Cephalopoda; Sepiida; Sepiidae. The record is from the annotation of a GenBank genome assembly.